This 301-nucleotide ribosomal RNA is filed under the name uncultured bacterium. RNAcentral's name for it is "partial 16S ribosomal RNA". It matches the Rfam family "Bacterial small subunit ribosomal RNA", at positions 509 to 808 of the family's 1533-position model. The record is from RNAcentral.
CAGUAGCCGCGGGAAUACCGAGGGUGCGAGCGUUAAUCGGAUUUACUGGGCGUAAAGCGUGCGUAGGCGGCUUCUUAAGUCGGAUGUGAAAUCCCUGAGCUUAACUUAGGAAUUGCAUUCGAUACUGGGAAGCUAGAGUAUGGGAGAGGAUGGUAGAAUUUCAGGUGUAGCGGUGAAAUGCGUAGAGAUCUGGAGGAAUACCGAUGGCGAAGGCAGCCAUCUGGCCUAAUACUGACGCUGAGGUACGAAAGCAUGGGGAGCAAACAGGAUUAGAGACCCGUGUAGUCCCUGUCUUUAUACC